Molecule: ribosomal RNA, 565 nt
Filed under: uncultured bacterium
Lineage: Bacteria
Description: bacterial SSU rRNA
Rfam family: Bacterial small subunit ribosomal RNA
Source: RNAcentral
GCUGACGGCGUGCAUAAUACAUGCAAGUCGAACGAGCGAUGAGAGAGUGGCAACACUUUCUCAAAGCUAGUGGCGAACGGGUGAGUAACGCGUGGGUAAUCUGCCUCAAAGAUUGGAAUAACUCCUUGAAAGAGGAGCUAAUACCAAAUGUGCUAUUUUAAUUGCAUGAUUUUUAUAGCAAAGGUAGCCGCAAGGCUUCUGCUUUGAGAUGAGCCCGCGUCCUAUUAGCUUGUUGGUAGGGUAAAAGCCUACCAAGGCUAUGAUGGGUAACCGGUCUGAGAGGAUGUUCGGUCACACUGGGACUGAGAUACGGCCCAGACUCCUACGGGAGGCAGCAGUAGGGAAUAUUGCGCAAUGGGCGAAAGCCUGACGCAGCGACACCGUGUGAAGGAUGAAGAUCUUCGGAUUGUAAACUUCUGUCAAUUGGGGACGAAGGUACUAGUGUUAAUAGCUCCUAGUAUUGACGGUACCCAAUAAGGAAGUCUCGGCUUACUCCGUGCCAGCAGCCGCGGUAAGACGGGGGAGGCAAGCGUUGUCCGGAAUUAUUGGGCGUAAAGAGCGCGUA